Bubalus bubalis (water buffalo) is the source of this 2514-nucleotide long non-coding RNA. RefSeq lists it as uncharacterized. The transcript has 3 exons. The record is from RefSeq and is a predicted model, not a curated record. NCBI's taxonomy places the organism in Eukaryota, Metazoa, Chordata, Mammalia, Artiodactyla, Bovidae.
UGGGCCCAGCCCCUUCAGAAGCAGAGGCUUGGGCGAGGGCAGCGGAUUUAUGGUGCAAGGUUAGCCGGCGCGUAAACCUGGGCGUCGGCCAUCAAGGGCCCUGGCGUUUUUACUGCCUCCUCCUCCAAGCCCCUGCAUGGAUGUGAAGCAACUGGAAGGAGGAACAUCUGGUUUCACUUUUUGCAUUCACCAGCACAGCUCCCAGAUGACAAAACCCUCCGUUCUUGCCAGGGUCCUGCUGGUGGCUGGUAGGCUGAAUGCGCAGGCAGGGGGGCAGCUCUCUGACAGAGAUCUCGCUUCUUUUUUUUUCCCUGCCUCAUCUAGGGGCCAAGAAACCGCCAGCCACAAAGGGAUCAACCCCGCUGCAUCGAGAUAGAGUGGGUGGCUGAGUCAAGGCCAGGCUGGCCGCGGUGCCAGCUUGCCAGAGACACCGAGGGCCACUUGUCCCGGCGGCGGGGAGGGCCCCAAGCCGGCCUUUAAAAGGGGGGCGUGGCCGGGUCGCGAGCGGUGGAUGCUGGAACUUGUAGUCUCCGAGCGCAAGAUGGCUGUGAGUGAGGGCCAGCAUCCCUGUCCUCUGGGGCAGGACUUCUCCAGGUCACCCAUCCUGGACUGACAGCAUGCUCACACAGCCUGUGGCAAGGUCGGCAGGGAGAGCAACUGACCGUCUGCCAAUGACAAGCGCCAACUUGGCAGGCAUGAACGUUAGCCGCCUUGGCCUUCCAAAUACUGUAGCCUCAGCCAGCAUCUUCACGGCAACCUCAUGGGAGACCCCAAGCCAGAACCUCUCAGCUGAGCAGCUCCAGAAAUCCUGACCCAAAGAAAAAUACCCUUAUAUUCUAAGCUGCUGUGUUUUGAAGUGAUUUAUGUUUCAGCAAAGAUAAAUAAGCCCUUCAUCCCUAUCCCCUGAUAACAGCCAAAGCCCUAUUUUCAAGAUGUAAGUAUGUUAUGUCAUUCCCUUACUUAACAUUUCUUAUGGUUUUCAGAACCUCCCAGAGAACACUGAAACUGAUGAUAAGGGCAUCCAAGCUUCUUCAGAACCCAGCCUCAUCACUCAAGGGCUCCUGUAGGCCAGAGUGAUUUCAUGUCUGAUGCCCCUCCACCAGAAACCUUCCUUGAAGUGGUAGAUAACACUCCUGAGGUUUGUGUGUACCUUUAUCAACACACAUUAACAUUUGCCUGCCCAUCACCCACUCUGGCCUAGGAAGGAUUGUCGUUCAUCUGCCACCCCAGCACAGGAGUGGUAUUCAGCCCAUGGGAACCAUUUAAUAAGUAAUUUUGAUGUGAAAGAGAACAAAAUGAAUACAAAACAAAAAUUAUCUUGAACUAUCUGACUUCCAGAGCAGCCACUAGGACUUCCCUGGUGGUACAGCGCAUAGGAGUCCACCUGCCAGUGUGGAGGACACAAGUUCAAUCCCUGGUCUGGGAAGAUCCACGCUCCACAUGCACCACAGCUACUGAAGCCUGUGUGCAUAGAGCCCGUGCUCUGCAACAAGAGAAGCCACCGCAAUGAGAAAAUGAGAAGCCUGUGCAUUGCAACGAGGUGUAGCCUCGGCUUGUCUGCAACUAAAAAAAAAAAAACUUCAUUCCUGUCUGCACACAGGAAUGAAGAACCAGCACAGCCAAUAAAUAAAUCUAAAACUAAAGAGCAACCACCAACUGAAUUAAAGAGCAUGAAUCCAUUAGGCCCUCUCUGUUGACUUAUCUAGAUAACCCAAUCUUUUCUGGAGUCUCUACGCCGAUUUCUGGAGGCUGAAAGCUUCUGAAACAAACUUGGACAGUUUUUGCAUUUCCCUUUGGCCAGCACGUGGAAGAGCCCGUCUUAUGCUCCUUGCUCCCCUGUCCUACCGCGGUCAUGGCCCCGGAUACCCAAGGCCUCUCUUCAGGUGGACCUGAGAGCUGACUGCCAUUUGAAACUGCUCGUGAACCCGGAACAUGAGAUUUCAGGUCGAGUGUGUGUUUGGGCUGUGCCUGUGAGAGAUGGAGAGCAGGCCUUAGCAAGGGAAUUAACCAGGCUGAGCCACACUUUCAUAGAAGAGAGAUCAAAGCCAGAGGCGAACCUGACCCAGAUAAACCACCAGGACUGAAACCCAUGCGUCUGGCAGAUGCAAAUAGUCUCAUCUAGUCUGAACUGGGAGGCAAAGCCCUGUGGAGACUUACCUGGCCCCUGCUCGAGCCUCGGCCACAAACUUGGACCUGCCCCAGGGAAACUGGACAUCUCAAGGCGAAGCCGGGUACAAAGCUGUGCAGAAAGAGCGGUCAGAGGCGGAUGCCCACCUUGCCCUGCCCCAGCAAAGCUCAUCACCUCCCAUCCCAGCCAGUGGGGUGGAAAAGACAAAACCACCUCAUCUCAAUGAGAAGGUCAGCAAAGGGCUCAAGACCCAAUGCCCCAGCCCUGUGAGGGAACGGCUCUGCAAACCAACUCCUCCUUGUCAUUUGGGGAAAAAAAAAGGCAAAAAAUUGAUGUUCUGUACCUGCAUGGUACAUAGAGGAAAAUAACGGAUCUGUUGGCUCAUA